GUGGGGAAUAUUCCGCAAUGGACGAAAGUCUUACGGAGCAACGCCGCGUGAGUGAUGAAGGUUUUCGGACUGUAAAGCUCUGUUGUUUAGGACGAAAGUGCCUGUUGCAAAUAGUUACAGGUAUUGACGGUACUGAACGAGGAAGCCACGGCUAACUACGUGCCAGCAGCCGCGGUAAUACGUAGGUGGCAAGCGUUGUCCGGAAUUAUUGGGCGUAAAGAGCAUGUAGGCGGGAAUCUAAGUCUGUUGUGAAAAUGCGGGGCUCAACCCCGUAUUGCGAUGGAAACUGGGUUUCUUGAGUGCAGGAGAGGAAAGGGGAAUUCCCAGUGUAGCGGUGAAAUGCGUAGAUAUUGGGAGGAACACCAGUGGCGAAGGCGCCUUUCUGGACUGUGUCUGACGCUGAGAUGCGAAAGCCAGGGUAGCGAACGGGAUUAGAAACCCUUGUAGUCC
RNAcentral lists this ribosomal RNA (450 nucleotides) under uncultured bacterium. RNAcentral's name for it is "partial 16S ribosomal RNA". It matches the Rfam family "Bacterial small subunit ribosomal RNA", at positions 354 to 796 of the family's 1533-position model. The record is from RNAcentral.